AUUGAACGCUGGCGGCAUGCCUUACACAUGCAAGUCGAACGGGGGUAGCAAUACCCUAGUGGCGAACGGGUGAGUAAUGCAUCGGAACGUACCCAGUUGUGGGGGAUAACGUAGCGAAAGUUACGCUAAUACCGCAUACGCACUGAGGUGGAAAGCGGGGGACCUUCGGGCCUCGCGCAAUUGGAGCGGCCGAUGUCGGGUUAGCUAGUUGGGGAGGUAAAAGCUCACCAAGGCGACGAUCCGUAGCUGGUCUGAGAGGACGACCAGCCACACUGGGACUGAGACACGGCCCAGACUCCUACGGGAGGCAGCAGUGGGGAAUUUUGGACAAUGGGCGAAAGCCUGAUCCAGCCAUGCCGCGUGAGUGAAGAAGGCCUUCGGGUUGUAAAGCUCUUUCGGACGGAAAGAAAUGGCUUCGGUGAAUAAUCGGAGUCGAUGACGGUACCGUAAGAAGAAGCACCGGCUAACUACGUGCCAGCAGCCGCGGUAA
RNAcentral lists this ribosomal RNA (490 nucleotides) under uncultured bacterium. RNAcentral describes it as "partial 16S ribosomal RNA". It matches the Rfam family "Bacterial small subunit ribosomal RNA", at positions 29 to 523 of the family's 1533-position model. The record is from RNAcentral.